UGGGUAAUAUUGGACAAUGGGGGGAACCCUGAUCCAGCCAUGCCGCGUGUGUGAAGAAGGCCUUAUGGUUGUAAAGCACUUUAAGCGAGGAGGAGGGUACUGGUAUUAAUACUACCAGGUACUGGACGUUACUCGCAGAAUAAGCACCGGCUAACUCUGUGCCAGCAGCCGCGGUAAUACAGAGGGUGCGAGCGUUAAUCGGAUUUACUGGGCGUAAAGCGUGCGUAGGCGGCUAAUUGAGUCGGAUGUGAAAUCCCCGAGCUUAACUUGGGAAUUGCAUUCGAUACUGGUUAGCUAGAGUGUGGGAGAGGAUGGUAGAAUUCCAGGUGUAGCGGUGAAAUGCGUAGAGAUCUGGAGGAAUACCGAUGGCGAAGGCAGCCAUCUGGCCUAACACUGACGCUGAGGUACGAAAGCAUGGGGAGCAAACAGG
This 430-nucleotide ribosomal RNA is filed under the name Pseudomonadota bacterium. Its description in RNAcentral is "Proteobacteria bacterium partial 16S ribosomal RNA". It matches the Rfam family "Bacterial small subunit ribosomal RNA", at positions 355 to 776 of the family's 1533-position model. The record is from RNAcentral. Lineage: Bacteria; Pseudomonadati; Pseudomonadota.